UACGGGGGGGCAAGCGUUGUUCGGAAUUACUGGGCGUAAAGGCUCGUAGGCGGCCAACUAAGUCGGAUGUGAAAUCCCCAGGCUUAACCUGGGAACUGCAUCCGAUACUGGAUGGCUUGAAUUCGGGAGAGGGAUGCAGAAUUCCAGGUGUAGCGGUGAAAUGCGUAGAUAUCUGGAGGAAUACCGGUGGCGAAGGCGGCAUCCUGGACCGAGAUUGACGCUGAUGAGCGAAAGCUAGGGGAGCAAACGGGG
This 252-nucleotide ribosomal RNA is filed under the name uncultured bacterium. RNAcentral describes it as "partial 16S ribosomal RNA". It matches the Rfam family "Bacterial small subunit ribosomal RNA", at positions 524 to 777 of the family's 1533-position model. The record is from RNAcentral.